CGGGAUGUAGCGCAGUUUGGCUAGCGCGCCUGCCUUGGGAGCAGGAAGUCGGGGGUUCAAAUCCCUCCAUCCCGA
Molecule: transfer RNA, 75 nt
Filed under: Carboxydothermus hydrogenoformans Z-2901
Lineage: Bacteria; Bacillati; Bacillota; Clostridia; Thermoanaerobacterales; Thermoanaerobacteraceae
Rfam family: tRNA
About the family: Transfer RNA (tRNA) molecules are approximately 80 nucleotides in length.
Source: Rfam by way of RNAcentral